ACCGUUGUAGUCUUAACUAWAAAUGAUACAGACUAGGGAUAGGACACUGUCCAUUCCGACUCCUUCUGCACCUCGGAGAAAUUAGAGUCUUUGGGUUCUGGGGGGAGUAUGGUCGCAAGGCUGAAACUUAAAGGAAUUGACGGAAAGACACACAAAGAGUGGAACCUGCGGCUUAACACACCGAUAGGCCGAAGAGCGACCCGAAAGGGAUUGCUAGUCUGGGGGUUGACUUCCCCCUGGGCGACACCAUCAAAUUGCGGGGAGUCCUUAAAGCUUGAUCUACCACCUACGCGUCUAACAGACGGAAAAAUCACGGGCGUUAAAACCUCUUUGAGCGGGGGAGUCGCGUGCGUAGUACCUGGGGUAAUGACCUAAGGCAUGGUAAAAACGAUUGAGAUAUAUAGGUUAUCCGCAGCCAAGUUCGUUUAAGGCUCUUGCUAGCUUGCUUUGUUAAGGCAACUACCUGAUGGCUACGAAUGCAGUUCACAGACUAAACGGUGGUGGGUGGGUGCAAAGCCUGGGGUGUGAGCUCUCCCUGUUUCAUUACAGGGGGGGGGUUCGCGUCUUGGGCCUGCUCUGCUUAAGAUAUAGUCGGGCCCACCCGAAAGGGUGCCUCGGGAUGAAAGUUGACUCCGGUUGACCUGAGCCUGGGGAGGUUGGAUGUACGGUAAUGGCACUUGUGUCGUUGUCGGGUUCGACUGGGAACAAACCGUAAUUUGACUCAACACGGGAAAACUCACCAGGUCCGGAUACACGUAUGAAAGUCAAGCUGAAAGACUUUACUCAAUGAUGUAAGUGGUGGUGCAUGGCCGUUCGUAGUUCGUGGAUUGAUUUGUCUGGUUUAUUCCGAUAACGAGCGAGACCCCAGCGUUCCUAAUAGGGGCAAUGGCCAAGCUGGUCGCAAGACUGGUUAGCCAGGGCUUUAGAAACUUAGCUUCUUAGACGUAUCAGAGCCGAUAAGGCACUUGAAAUGGGUUAAUAACAGGUCAGUCAUGCCCUUAGAUGUUCUGGGCCGCACGCGCGUUACAAUGGCAUGUAAAACACGUUGCCUAAUCGAAAAAAGGCUCUGCCGAGGCCGAAAGGUCCCUGGUAAUCCUUAAUCCCUGCCUUGACUGGGACAGAUCAUUGCAAUUAUUGGUCUCUAACGAGGAAUUUUUAGUAAUCGUAGGUCAUUAACCUGCGG
Molecule: ribosomal RNA, 1183 nt
Filed under: Physarum polygonosporum
Lineage: Eukaryota; Evosea; Eumycetozoa; Physariida; Physaraceae
Description: partial small subunit ribosomal RNA
Source: RNAcentral